Molecule: ribosomal RNA, 253 nt
Filed under: uncultured bacterium
Lineage: Bacteria
Description: partial 16S ribosomal RNA
Rfam family: Bacterial small subunit ribosomal RNA
Source: RNAcentral
UACGUAGGGGGCAAGCGUUGUCCGGAAUCAUUGGGCGUAAAGAGCGCGUAGGCGGCCAGAUAAGUCCGGUGUGAAAGUCACAGGCUCAACCUGGGAAUGGCGAUGGAUACUGGCUCGCUAGAGUGCGGUAGAGGAGAGUGGAAUUCCCGGUGUAGCAGUGAAAUGCGUAGAGAUCGGGAGGAACAUCAGUUGCGAAGGCGGCUCUCUGGACCAGCACUGACACUGAGGCACGAAAGCGUGGGGAGCAAACAGG